Molecule: long non-coding RNA, 882 nt
Organism: Papaver somniferum (opium poppy)
Lineage: Eukaryota; Viridiplantae; Streptophyta; Magnoliopsida; Ranunculales; Papaveraceae
Exons: 4
Source: RefSeq, a predicted model, not a curated record
ACAGGCUUGCAUCUCUUUUAAAAUCACGAGAAUUAUUCAGGAUAUAACAUCUAUCUUACAAAAACAAAUGUUUUUUUAUCAAAUAUGACGGUUUUGAAUUGGCCUUUGUAAGCCACCAACGGUUCCAAUUGCUCUCGAAAGGGUAGAGAUAAAUCUCGGCUGAAAAGGCUUCCCCCUUCUCCGCCCUAAUCCAACGUCGGUGAUUUGCUGCACUUAUUAUUUUUCAGUUACCAAAAACAAGGGUUCCUCUUCAACCUGUUCUUCUCAAUCGUCGUACGUUACGCGCAACGGGAUCCGUAUUAAACAUCACCAUUAUUUCUCCGUAAUCCUAGGCAUGAGUUGUGAUGGCACCAGCCACUAUUCGAUGAUUGGUUAACUGAAUGUCACAGCCGUUUCAUUUUCUUGGGAAUCAAUGAAAUUAAAUCUCCAAUUUGUUCUUCGUCGUUGCUUAGCAAUUUCUCGAUACUACAUAAACCUCAAAUAGUUUUGUCUUCCAAACUUUGUGAACUGUAUCAAUGCUUAUGCAACAUCGACAUUUGCAGCAGACUUAGCAGAGGUUAAUGCCAUCAAGAAGGUCUGUAAGAAUGCAUCUGGGAUCAAGUCGAUGAUUAGACGUUGGCUCGGGACAGCUGGUGGAUUAGAAGCCAUAGCUACAAUCAAAGGAAGCAAAGACUAGCAGUGAUGAUAGAAGUCGCAAAGAUAGCAAAGUUUGGAUCUGUAAUGGCUAUGCCAGGUUCAGAUCUUGUUUGCCAGGUCUCCGAGGUUCCAUCAUACAUUUGAGGUACUUCAAGGUUGUAGGACGUUAGUUUUAAAAGGUUCUUUUCUAGGAUUUGGUUGGUUAGAUGGUGUAAUUCAGUUGUCAAGUAAUCCGUUUUCCCCUGA